This 1503-nucleotide long non-coding RNA is filed under the name Equus asinus (donkey). Its description in RNAcentral is "lncRNA (ENSEASG00005033008.1)". The record is from RNAcentral. Lineage: Eukaryota; Metazoa; Chordata; Mammalia; Perissodactyla; Equidae.
AGGCGAUCAAGGUCAACGUCAACAGUCAUACAUCUAGUUAAUAACAAUGAACCUGUAUAAUUUCAUCUGUUGUAACGAAUAUCCCCGAUUGAGGAAAAUAAUGAAACCCAAACCAUCAGGAACGGUAUCACUUGAGCAGAGCAUAGGUGCAAGUACCAUCCGUGUUAUAUGCAGAAACAUUCACCUUGACCCCAGGGGGGAUCUGGGCUGAGACUAGAUGACUGAAAUCUCUGGGCGAUGGUGAACACAGAAUUGGGGGCAGCAGAUAUGAAGACGCACUGAGCCACAUGCCGGACGCCCCAAGCGCAGAGAGAGCUUGUGAGCUUCUAGCGGUGGAGACUUGACACACUGUGGGAGAGGAAAAUGAAGUUACUGGACCCACUGAAACGGGACUCAUUGAUCCUCUAGCCCAUGGUGGGCAGUGUGCAUCAGCGGGGUCCUUCACAGUUUUAGAUGCUCCUUCUCUUCAAAUUUCGUGCUCAUCAAAGUACAUAUUUUUUCUGCACUGUAUCAAAGAAUCCUUUGUUUAAUAGAAGACACAGAAUAAUUCAGUAUGGAUCUUUGUCUGAGGCUGAGUAAUAUUUCUUGGCAUCAUCUUUAUCUAUUCAUCUGUCGAUGGACACUAAGCUGUUUCCAUAUCUUGGCUCUUGUGAACAAGGCUGCAGUCAACACAAGAAUGCAGAUGCCUCUUUGAGAUUCUGAUGUCAAUUCUGGUGGAUAUAUACCCCAAAGUGGGAUCGCUGGAUUGUGCUGAGUGAAAGAAGCCAGUCACAGAAGGACAAAUAUUGUGUGAUUCCACUUAUGCGAGCUAUCUGAAACGGUUCAACUCACUAUAGUUGACAACACUGCAUUGUGUCAUUGAAAUUUGCGAAGAGAGAACUUAAAUAUGCUCGCAAGAAGAAGAGAGAAAGAGAAGAAAAGAGAAACCUGUGUGGUGUGACGGAUGUGUUAUUUAUCCUGAUGAGGAGAAUCCUUUCGCAAUGUAUCAAAUCAUGUCAUUGUAAAUAGCUAACACGUUUAUUUGGCAGUGAUGCCCUAUUAAAACUGAAAAAAUACCCCCCCCAAACCAAAAAAGAAGGAAAAAAUGUCAAACUCACAGAAACAGAGGAGAAUGGUGAUUGCCAGGAGCUGGGGGAAGAGGAAAGAGGGAGCUGCUGUCCGACAGGCACAAAGUUUCAGUCGUGCGAGAUGAGUAAGUUCUAGAGAGCUGCUCACAGCCCUGUGCCCAGAGUUCCCAGUACUGCAGCGUGCGCUUAUGACUUGGUUAAGUGGGCCGACCAUACGAGGCAUCAGAAGAGAUCACAUCCAUGUGCUUAGAGAACGUCACGUGUGCUCUGCGUCCUCCACGUAGGCAGGGCGGGAUGGCUGAAGUGGGCUGGAGUCCCCACAGGGUCUUGGGCUGAGUUUGUGCUGACACAGCCCCGCUCUGUGUCUGAGUCGCUGGGACAGAAGGCCACCAUUUCCUGCACCGGCAGCAGCGGCAACAUUGGAAGCAAAUAUGUG